UCCCUGGUAGUAUAUCGGUUUAGUACACGCGCCUGUCAACUUCUGCGGUGCGCGCGAGAGCCGGGUUCGACUCCCGGCCGGGGAG
This is a transfer RNA of 85 nucleotides. It matches the Rfam family "tRNA". From Rfam's summary of the family: Transfer RNA (tRNA) molecules are approximately 80 nucleotides in length.